Molecule: transfer RNA, 77 nt
Filed under: Planctomycetes bacterium SM23_25
Lineage: Bacteria; Pseudomonadati; Planctomycetota
Description: tRNA-Met
Rfam family: tRNA (bases 17-74)
About the family: Transfer RNA (tRNA) molecules are approximately 80 nucleotides in length.
Source: RNAcentral
UGCAGGGACUUGCGCGAACGCGGUGCAGCGGGCUCAUAACCCGAAGGUCGCAGGUUCGAAUCCUGCCCCCGCUACCA